This 3005-nucleotide ribosomal RNA is filed under the name Yersinia enterocolitica. RNAcentral describes it as "bacterial LSU rRNA". It matches the Rfam family "Bacterial large subunit ribosomal RNA". The record is from RNAcentral. Lineage: Bacteria; Pseudomonadati; Pseudomonadota; Gammaproteobacteria; Enterobacterales; Yersiniaceae.
UUAAGCGACUAAGCGUACACGGUGGAUGCCUAGGCAGUCAGAGGCGAUGAAGGGCGUGCUAAUCUGCGAAAAGCGUCGGUAAGGUGAUAUGAACCGUUAUAACCGACGAUACCCGAAUGGGGAAACCCAGUGCAAUUCGUUGCACUAUUGCAUGGUGAAUACAUAGCCAUGCAAGGCGAACCGGGGGAACUGAAACAUCUAAGUACCCCGAGGAAAAGAAAUCAACCGAGAUUCCCCCAGUAGCGGCGAGCGAACGGGGAGGAGCCCAGAACCUGAAUCAGCGUAUGUGUUAGUGGAAGCGUCUGGAAAGUCGCACGGUACAGGGUGAUAGUCCCGUACACAAAAAUGCAUAUGUUGUGAGUUCGAUGAGUAGGGCGGGACACGUGACAUCCUGUCUGAAUAUGGGGGGACCAUCCUCCAAGGCUAAAUACUCCUGACUGACCGAUAGUGAACCAGUACCGUGAGGGAAAGGCGAAAAGAACCCCGGCGAGGGGAGUGAAACAGAACCUGAAACCGUGUACGUACAAGCAGUGGGAGCACCUUCGUGGUGUGACUGCGUACCUUUUGUAUAAUGGGUCAGCGACUUAUAUUUUGUAGCAAGGUUAACCGAAUAGGGGAGCCGUAGGGAAACCGAGUCUUAACUGGGCGAAUAGUUGCAAGGUAUAGACCCGAAACCCGGUGAUCUAGCCAUGGGCAGGUUGAAGGUUGGGUAACACUAACUGGAGGACCGAACCGACUAAUGUUGAAAAAUUAGCGGAUGACUUGUGGCUGGGGGUGAAAGGCCAAUCAAACCGGGAGAUAGCUGGUUCUCCCCGAAAGCUAUUUAGGUAGCGCCUCGUGAACUCAUCUUCGGGGGUAGAGCACUGUUUCGGCUAGGGGGUCAUCCCGACUUACCAAACCGAUGCAAACUCCGAAUACCGAAGAAUGUUAUCACGGGAGACACACGGCGGGUGCUAACGUCCGUCGUGAAGAGGGAAACAACCCAGACCGCCAGCUAAGGUCCCAAAGUCAUGGUUAAGUGGGAAACGAUGUGGGAAGGCACAGACAGCCAGGAUGUUGGCUUAGAAGCAGCCAUCAUUUAAAGAAAGCGUAAUAGCUCACUGGUCGAGUCGGCCUGCGCGGAAGAUGUAACGGGGCUAAACCAUGCACCGAAGCUGCGGCAGCGAACGUAUCACUUAAAACGCUUAACGUGACGGCAAAGCCGGCAUGUUCAAGCCACACUAAACGUUGAGUUGGCCGAUGUGCUGACAAACGAACAGGCGUUUUAAGGAUACGUUCGUUGGGUAGGGGAGCGUUCUGUAAGCCGUUGAAGGUGACCUGUGAGGGUUGCUGGAGGUAUCAGAAGUGCGAAUGCUGACAUAAGUAACGAUAAUGCGGGUGAAAAACCCGCACGCCGGAAGACCAAGGGUUCCUGUCCAACGUUAAUCGGGGCAGGGUGAGUCGACCCCUAAGGCGAGGCUGAAAAGCGUAGUCGAUGGGAAACAGGUUAAUAUUCCUGUACUUGGUGUUACUGCGAAGGGGGGACGGAGAAGGCUAGGCUAGCCGGGCGACGGUUGUCCCGGUUUAAGCAUGUAGGCGGAGUGACCAGGUAAAUCCGGUUGCUUAUCAACGCUGAGGUGUGAUGACGAUGCACUACGGUGCAGAAGUAGUUGAUGCCAUGCUUCCAGGAAAAGCCUCUAAGCAUCAGGUAACAUGAAAUCGUACCCCAAACCGACACAGGUGGUCAGGUAGAGAAUACUCAGGCGCUUGAGAGAACUCGGGUGAAGGAACUAGGCAAAAUGGUGCCGUAACUUCGGGAGAAGGCACGCUGGCAUUAGGUAAAGGGACUUGCUCCCGGCGCCGAAGCCAGUCGCAGAUACCAGCUGGCUGCAACUGUUUAAUAAAAACACAGCACUGUGCAAACACGAAAGUGGACGUAUACGGUGUGACGCCUGCCCGGUGCUGGAAGGUUAAUUGAUGGGGUCAGCCGCAAGGCGAAGCUCUUGAUCGAAGCCCCAGUAAACGGCGGCCGUAACUAUAACGGUCCUAAGGUAGCGAAAUUCCUUGUCGGGUAAGUUCCGACCUGCACGAAUGGCGUAAUGAUGGCCAGGCUGUCUCCACCCGAGACUCAGUGAAAUUGAACUCGCUGUGAAGAUGCAGUGUACCCGCGGCAAGACGGAAAGACCCCGUGAACCUUUACUAUAGCUUGACACUGAACAUUGAGCCUUGAUGUGUAGGAUAGGUGGGAGGCAUAGAAGUGUGGACGCCAGUCUGCAUGGAGCCAACCUUGAAAUACCACCCUUUAAUGUUUGAUGUUCUAACUCGGCCCCGUAAUCCGGGGUGAGGACAGUGUCUGGUGGGUAGUUUGACUGGGGCGGUCUCCUCCCAAAGAGUAACGGAGGAGCACGAAGGUUAGCUAAUCACGGUCGGACAUCGUGAGGUUAGUGCAAAGGCAUAAGCUAGCUUGACUGCGAGAGUGACGGCUCGAGCAGGUACGAAAGUAGGUCUUAGUGAUCCGGUGGUUCUGAAUGGAAGGGCCAUCGCUCAACGGAUAAAAGGUACUCCGGGGAUAACAGGCUGAUACCGCCCAAGAGUUCAUAUCGACGGCGGUGUUUGGCACCUCGAUGUCGGCUCAUCACAUCCUGGGGCUGAAGUAGGUCCCAAGGGUAUGGCUGUUCGCCAUUUAAAGUGGUACGCGAGCUGGGUUUAGAACGUCGUGAGACAGUUCGGUCCCUAUCUGCCGUGGGCGUUGGAAGAUUGAGAGGGGCUGCUCCUAGUACGAGAGGACCGGAGUGGACGAAUCACUGGUGUUCGGGUUGUCAUGCCAAUGGCAUUGCCCGGUAGCUAAAUUCGGAAGAGAUAACCGCUGAAAGCAUCUAAGCGGGAAACUUGCCUCGAGAUGAGUCUUCCCUGGGGCUUUAAGCCCCCUGAAGGAACGUUAAAGACGAUGACGUUGAUAGGCUGGGUGUGUAAGUGCAGCGAUGCAUUGAGCUAACCAGUACUAAUGAACCGUGAGGCUUAACCUU